ACGUCAAGUCCUCAUGGCCCUUACACGCUGGGCUACACACGUGCUACAAUGGCGGUGACAGUGAGCAGCUAACCCGCGAGGGUAUGCUAAUCUCCAAAAGCCGUCUCAGUUCGGAUUGCUCUCUGCAACUCGGGAGCAUGAAGGCGGAAUCGCUAGUAAUCGCGGAUCAGCAUGCCGCGGUGAAUACGUUCCCAGGCCUU
This 200-nucleotide ribosomal RNA is filed under the name uncultured prokaryote. Its description in RNAcentral is "partial 16S ribosomal RNA". It matches the Rfam family "Bacterial small subunit ribosomal RNA", at positions 1182 to 1382 of the family's 1533-position model. The record is from RNAcentral.